ACCGAGCUGCCUCCGGGGAAGCUGACUCACCUUGGCCAGGGCAGGGCUGGCCUCCUGCCCAUCUUGAGCCUGGGCCAGGAGCUCUCUUAAAUUUGCGUGCACUUUGCAAGCCUCCAAACCUGAGUCCUCAUUGAGCUCUCCAUACCCAUCUCACUUCGCUGCUCCUUGCUGUCAGCUGCCAAGUUCCCUCGAAUGGCGAGCCAGAGCGGACGUGCUUCUGACCGCCCCCGUUCCAGGCCACUGCGUUUCUCAUGUUCAUCUAAUCUACAAGCUUGGCCUCGUCCCGGAGAGCCAGAGAGGCAAGGUUUUCUCCACCAGAGGAGAAGCACUGCCUUCCAGAGGGCCCCAGCCUCCUCUCCUGUUCCAGGAGACAUUUUUCCCCCAGGGGAGACCACAGGAGGGGAGUUCUGUUGCUCUUCAACCUAAAGAAAGGAAGGAGGACGUCAAGCUGCCCUAUAACGACUCGGGGGACUCACCAUCAUGCAAUCACUGAGGAGGAUAAUGGUGGAGCUGAUGAAGACACAGAGGGAACUAUGUGCACUGAAUAGUACGUGGGAGUCAAAAUGGCACGUACCCCAUAAGUGCAAUUCUGAAAAAAAUGUGCACGUGUGGACCAGGAUUGGAGAAGCAUAGAGGGAAAAACAGGUCGACAGCAGAUUUCAUGGGAAGAGUGGUAUUUUGGACAAUUUUUGUUUCAUUAUUGUUUUGUAUUUUAGUUGAUUAUGAUAAGAAAACAUUUUUCUACUUAUGUUUGUGGAUUCUCAGGGUUUGGUGGGGUAACAACCUUGAUCAAAACAGUAAUGGUACAAAAACUUUGUAAUCAGCUCUCUCAGACCUGUCCUGAGUGGAACAAUCGUUUACCCAACUGAACGCUGACUUAAUUUCCUUUAAGACCCUGUUGUCUACCAAGGUUUGGGACUUAUAAUAAUAAAGAUUUUAGGUGGCUUUUUUCCCAAAUUAUGUUCAGUCUGUUAUCUAAGAGAGGAAAUAAAAGCAGGGGAGUAAGAUAUUUCUCCUAAGCCUUCAUAAUACUAUGAUUUAAAAAUUAUUAUUUUUCAAUAUUUUUGGACACUUCAUACAUUUUCAGAAGAAAGCAAUCAUGAAAAAGCAUAUGUAUUUUGGGAGUUUAUUAGAAACAUCCAUUUCCAUGGUAGUUAUUUUAAACGUUGGACAGAAUCAGCUCCAUCUGCUAAAUCAGAGGUUGGAAAACUAUGACCCUCAGGACAAAUUUGGCUUGCUAUCUGUUUUUAUAAAUAAAGUUUUAUUGAACAUAGCCA
This is a non-coding RNA of Equus caballus (horse), 1277 nucleotides long. Lineage: Eukaryota; Metazoa; Chordata; Mammalia; Perissodactyla; Equidae. The record is from RefSeq and is a predicted model, not a curated record.